AUUGAACGCUGGCGGCAGGCUUAACACAUGCAAGUCGAGCGGUAGCACAGGGGAGCUUGCUCCCUGGGUGACGAGCGGCGGACGGGUGAGGAAUGUCUGGGAAACUGCCUGAUGGAGGGGGAUAACUACUGGAAACGGUAGCUAAUACCGCAUAACGUCGCAAGACCAAAGAGGGGGACCGUCGGGCCUCUUGCCAUCAGAUGUGCCCAGAUGGGAUUAGCUAGUAGGUGGGGUAAUGGCUCACCUAGGCGACGAUCCCUAGCUGGUCUGAGAGGAUGACCAGCCACACUGGACCUGAGACACGGUCCAGACUCCUACGGGAGGCAGCAGUGGGGAAUAUUGCACAAUGGGCGCAAGCCUGAUGCAGCCAUGCCGCGUGUGUGAAGAAGGCCUUCGGGUUGUAAAGCACUUUCAGCGAGGAGGAAGGUGGUGAGCUUAAUACGUUCAUCAAUUGACGUUACUCGCAGAAGAAGCACCGGCUAACUCCGUG
RNAcentral lists this ribosomal RNA (490 nucleotides) under uncultured bacterium. RNAcentral's name for it is "partial 16S ribosomal RNA". It matches the Rfam family "Bacterial small subunit ribosomal RNA", at positions 30 to 507 of the family's 1533-position model. The record is from RNAcentral.